Molecule: long non-coding RNA, 938 nt
Organism: Liolophura sinensis
Lineage: Eukaryota; Metazoa; Mollusca; Polyplacophora; Chitonida; Chitonidae
Exons: 3
Source: RefSeq, a predicted model, not a curated record
GGUUAGCCUUGGUGAGAACUCUCAAACGAAGAUACAAACAUUUACAAACUUCAAAAUUGUUUAUGUUUCAGUUGAUGGUAUUUAUGAUUUUUUGCGAUUUUUUGAUUUGCAAAUGAUGUCACACUACACCGCGAGAUGAAGUGGAUGUAUUCCUGGUCGACGGCUAUGUCACUGGCCUCCUCUACAUUGGCAGUAACUACUGUAUCAUUCCCCAUGGCGUGUUCCUACAUGGUCUUAUCGUCGCUAGCUACAGUACUGUUUAGAUGGCGUUUUGCUGGUGGAAGACUAUGGCGCUCGUCUCUUCCAUAUUGACGGUUUGACACAUUGCUGUACAAUGUGGAAAAUGCUUCUAACUCGGAGGAAGCCGCCAUGAAGUCAUAUGACGACGAAGGUUGCAAGACGGCUUUCCACCGGAUUUAUCUUGUGCUGCUUCAAUGAGACUGAGGUUUUGACACCGAAGGCAUGUAAGCCGCCUCACCCGAGGCAUUAUACUGAUACUGUAUGGACACCUUCCUUAACGAUAAACUAACAGAGGUUCUCGUUGGAAUGUUCAAGAGCUCUUCAGCUGAUGAUUGUAGUAGAACCCUUUACUUUUCACAAGCUUCAAACAAGAGUUUCCGAAACAGACACAUUCCAAAACAUCCGCAGUCAAAUAUUCCAGGUAAACCGUGAGAUGUCUCUGUGGCAAAAAUGACAAUGUGUCCGAUGUGUUGUGGAAAACAGUCCAAGGUGCCGACGUUGCCUGGAACCAAAACAUUUGUCACUAACUGUUCAAUAGAUCCAGGGUCAUGCCAAGUGAGAGACUGUAUGUUACCAGUUACAUCAGCGUUAGUCCGCUGUAACCUGUCCCACAUGAUUUACACACGACGGCGACAAGUGGAAAUAAUUGUUAUGAGGGGCGAUGUCGGAGUAUUAUGUCAGUAGUACCGUGCAGACAA